This 35-nucleotide transfer RNA is filed under the name Sebastes itinus (willow rockfish). Its description in RNAcentral is "partial tRNA-Thr". Lineage: Eukaryota; Metazoa; Chordata; Actinopteri; Perciformes; Sebastidae. The record is from RNAcentral.
ACCAGAUGUCGGAGGUUAAAAUCCUCCCUACUGCU